RNAcentral lists this ribosomal RNA (253 nucleotides) under uncultured bacterium. Its description in RNAcentral is "partial 16S ribosomal RNA". It matches the Rfam family "Bacterial small subunit ribosomal RNA", at positions 524 to 776 of the family's 1533-position model. The record is from RNAcentral.
UACGGAGGGGGCUAGCGUUGUUCGGAAUUACUGGGCGUAAAGCGCACGUAGGCGGCUUUGUAAGUUAGAGGUGAAAGCCCGGGGCUCAACCCCGGAAUUGCCUUUAAGACUGCAUCGCUAGAAUUGUGGAGAGGUAAGUGGAAUUCCGAGUGUAGAGGUGAAAUUCGUAGACAUUCGGAAGAACACCAGUGGCGAAGGCGACUUACUGGACACAUAUUGACGCUGAGGUGCGAAAGCGUGGGGAGCAAACAGG